CGUGAUAGGGGACACCGAGUGCCAGCAUCAUAUGCUGGCUGUCCGGGUGUGUAAAAUACACCUGUUAGCAAGGGCCGGGCAAGACCGGUGCCAGCCGCCGCGGUAACACCGGCGGCCCGAGUGGUGAUCGUGAUUAUUGGGUCUAAAGGGUCCGUAGCCGGUUUGGUCAGUCCUCCGGGAAAUCUGAUGGCUCAACCAUUAGGCUUUCGGGGGAUACUGCCAGGCUUGGAACCGGGAGAGGUAAGAGGUACUACAGGGGUAGGA
Molecule: ribosomal RNA, 264 nt
Filed under: uncultured methanogenic archaeon
Lineage: Archaea; Methanobacteriati; Methanobacteriota
Description: partial 16S ribosomal RNA
Rfam family: Archaeal small subunit ribosomal RNA
Source: RNAcentral